AUUCAGUAUAGAUAUACAUACUGUAGCACUUGAAUGAGCGGGCAAGGUUACUGAUAAUUGGAAAAUAUAACAUAAUCGAAGCUGUGUAACACAAAAUUAAGGUUAAGGGUUAGGGCCGCGAAUUUGGCAUUUAUCAUGUUGAUAAAUUUGGACGCGUUUAACAAUUUACUCAUAUAGUAAAUUGUGGAGCUCAUGCUGUAAAUUACACUGUACAUAUAAUCUUGAUAAAAAACUUUUCACGACAUAUGGCGCCGGACAAAUGGUUCAUUUGGUGCCGGAAAAAAUUUUGCGGACAUAAAAUCGUUUAUUUUUUGCCGACAAUUUUCUUAAUUUUUUUAGAUUUUUAGAUGUAUCAUCUGGGUCCUGGGAUUUAUAUUCUGAGUUCAUCAAUCUUGCAUCAAUAAAUUUUAAGGAUCCCUUGUUCUGCGAGCCCCGCCCGAGAUAAUGUUCCCCUCUGCCUCUCUCUCGGCGAUCCUGCAUGCAGUAGAUGUAAAUUGAUAACGAAAGAUUCAAUAUAUAUACAAUUUUAGACUUAACUACAGGAGCAGCUGCGAAAAUGCUGUCAUCUGACAGGAAUCGAACCUGUGGGUAAAGAUAAAGAUUUUUGGGAAUAUGACGCUGGAAAUCUCAAUUUGCGCUUGGGAUUUUUCUUGAAAUUUGUGCUUGAAAUUUCCAUUCUACAUAAAUCCUUCAAUCUGUUCAUAUCUUAUAUAAUGGCAUCACCUGUACUAAAUACUGUAUAUAAACAAGAACUUGUGUUUGGAGUUCGACAACUGAACUCUAUAACUCAGUUGGUUAGAGCACUGCAACGGAAUUACAGGGCCAUAGGUUCGAUUCCUGCUAUAGUUCUAUUUUCAGCAGCUGGUUAUAGGACUAAAUUAAAUAUAUAUAAAUCUUCCACUCGAAAUUCUCAUCCUACAUAAGGCCUUCAAUCUCGGGAUCAAGUGGUCUUAGAAUCAGGGGCGUAGGAAGAGGGGGGCAGAGGGAACACGUCCCCCCCCUCCCAAAUUGUUUCAAAGGACCAAAAGUGUCCCUUUUUGUGAUGAAAAGUGCCCUUUUUGUACAAGCUAAUGUCGCUGUAAAUACUAAAUUAACGUCAAAGGUGCCCUUCUUGUUUAGAGAUUUCGAUGUUUUUUAAAAAAAAUUGGUCAAAAACGUGCCAUUGCGUUAUGGUAUGACGGGAAAACUUUUCUUAAGCUACUAGUUGUCCAAUCGACAUGUGUGAUGCGAUCGUGACUAAAACACCACACGAGUACAUACGAGUAACAUACGAGUAACACACAAGUACAUACGAGUACAUACGAGUAACACACAAGUACAUACGAGUAACAUACGAAUACAUACGAGUAACACACGAGUACAUACGAGUAACAAACGAGUAAAACACAAGUACAUACGAGUAGAAUACGAGUACAUACGAGUAAAAUACGACUAGUAAACUUGUUUUUAGUGUUUGUAGAUUGAAUACAGGCAAAAAGAUCGUCUUUUCCGUCGAAAAACGCGGAAUGGGGGAACGGGAAAUGGAGGAACAGGGAAUGGAGGGAACGGAGAACGGGGAAUGGAGGAACGAGUAACGGGGGGGGGGGGAAUCGAGCAAUUAUGAAUUAUUAUUAAUACAUAUUAAUCAUAUGUACGGGGGGAAAAGAACAGAAAAAAGAAACAGAAAUUCGACAGGAUAAACGGGAAUCAGGGAAUUACGAAACUAUAAAACGGACUCUGGUGUCUUGGGAAUUAGAAAACCGCUCAAUGAAUUAAAGCUAGUAAAGAAAUUUAUUGAAGCUUUCCUUUAUUAGUACAGCGUAUCAUAAAAAAGUCAAUCCACAUUGCUUAUGU
Non-coding RNA from Paramuricea clavata, 1833 nucleotides. Lineage: Eukaryota; Metazoa; Cnidaria; Anthozoa; Malacalcyonacea; Plexauridae. The record is from the annotation of a GenBank genome assembly.